Phrynosoma platyrhinos (Desert horned lizard) is the source of this 72-nucleotide non-coding RNA. The record is from the annotation of a GenBank genome assembly. NCBI's taxonomy places the organism in Eukaryota, Metazoa, Chordata, Lepidosauria, Squamata, Phrynosomatidae.
GGGUCUGUAGCUCGGUGGGAGAGCUCAUGGUUUGCAUGCAGAAGUUCCCAGGUUCAAUCCUUGGUAUCUCCA